Molecule: ribosomal RNA, 496 nt
Filed under: uncultured bacterium
Lineage: Bacteria
Description: partial 16S ribosomal RNA
Rfam family: Bacterial small subunit ribosomal RNA
Source: RNAcentral
GAUGAACGCUGGCGGCGUGCCUAAUACAUGCAAGUCGAGCGAACAGAUAAGGAGCUUGCUCCUUUGACGUUAGCGGCGGACGGGUGAGUAACACGUGGGUAACCUACCUAUAGGACUGGAAUAACUCCGGGAAACCGGGGCUAAUGCCGGAUAACAUUUAGAACCGCAUGGUUCUAAAGUGAAAGAUGGUUUUGCUAUCACUUAUAGAUGGACCCGCGCCGUAUUAGCUAGUUGGUAAGGUAACGGCUUACCAAGGCAACGAUACGUAGCCGACCUGAGAGGGUGAUCGGCCACACUGGAACUGAGACACGGUCCAGACUCCUACGGGAGGCAGCAGUAGGGAAUCUUCCGCAAUGGGCGAAAGCCUGACGGAGCAACGCCGCGUGAGUGAUGAAGGUCUUCGGAUCGUAAAACUCUGUUAUUAGGGAAGAACAAAUGUGUAAGUAACUGUGCACGUCUUGACGGUACCUAAGCAGAAAGCCACGGCUAACUACGU